AGGAAGCUUUGGGAGAUGUUGUUUACUGCAGUCUGCCUGAAGUUGGGACAAAACUGAAAAAACAAGAGGAGUUUGGUGCUUUGGAAAGCGUGAAGGCUGCCAGUGAACUCUACUCUCCUCUGUCAGGAGAAGUAACUGAAGUCAAUGAAGCACUUGCCGAAAACCCAGGGCUUGUCAACAAAUCAUGUUACGAAGACGGUAAGUUGUUGGUAAGAAUUUAACUCCAACAGAGGUAACUCACUCACUGUGCCUCCAGCAGUUUUCUCCCUAUUACAGUUGAAUGAACAACCUCAAAAGUAACCGGAGGCCACAUAGCCAAUAGGUGGCGAUGUUAGGAUUUGGUUGUGGCUCUCUUUGGCUUGCUGUCUUGCCCUUCAGACUUUCUAGGGUGCCCCCAUCCUAGCUCCUCCCUUCCUCUCUGGGGUUGGAUGGCUUGAGACAGGGUCUCUACAUGGCUCUUGCUGGUCUUAAACUCACAGAGAUCCUCCUGCUUCUGCCUCCUAGGUGCUGGGAUUAAAGGUGUAUACCACCAUGCCUGGCAUUCGGUCUCGGUCUUUCUACUGCCAUUAGUUCUAACAGCUAAUAUUUGGUGUGCCUUUAAGAAACAUAUGUGCAGGUGCUCUUAACUGCCUAGCCAUCAUCUCUCCCACCCCAAGGUUUUAUUUUAAAUAUUUUAAUUAAAGUUAUUUGAGCUGGGCAUGGUGGUGCACACCUUUAAUUCCACUCUACCUCUGAAGGAGGCAGAGGCAUUCGAAUGUCUUGAGUUCAAGGCCGGCCUGGUUGACAAAGUGAGUUCUAGGACAGCUGGGACUGUUAAACAGAAACCCUGUCUUAAAGAAUGGAAACAAGAGAAAGCUUACUUGUUUCU
RNAcentral lists this long non-coding RNA (868 nucleotides) under Rattus norvegicus (Norway rat). RNAcentral's name for it is "long non-coding RNA NONRATT014755". The record is from RNAcentral. Lineage: Eukaryota; Metazoa; Chordata; Mammalia; Rodentia; Muridae.